This 253-nucleotide ribosomal RNA is filed under the name uncultured bacterium. Its description in RNAcentral is "partial 16S ribosomal RNA". It matches the Rfam family "Bacterial small subunit ribosomal RNA", at positions 524 to 776 of the family's 1533-position model. The record is from RNAcentral.
GACGGAAGGUGCAAGCGUUGCUCGGAAUCACUGGGCGUAAAGGGUGCGUAGGCGGUGCCGUAAGUCGGAUGUGAAAUCCCGGGGCUUAACCCCGGAACUGCAUUCGAUACUGCGGUGCUCGAGGACUGGAGAGGAGAUUGGAAUUCACGGUGUAGCAGUGAAAUGCGUAGAUAUCGUGAGGAAGACCAGUGGCGAAGGCGGAUCUCUGGACAGUUCCUGACGCUGAGGAGCGAAAGCGUGGGGAGCGAACAGG